UUUCAGAAAUCCUCUUCUUCGAUCGGCGGCGAUGGGCCACCGUGGGCACCGAAGACUCUUUCUUUGAGAUGGUCUCCCUACGACCUAGUGGAAUUUACACCAAAGCUCAGCUCCAGAAGGAGCUCGAAACUCUAGCCACUUGCGGAAUGUUCGAGAAAGUGGACAUGGAAGGAAAAACUAAACCAGAUGGAACCCUAGGCAUAACCAUAUCAUUCGCAGAAAGCACCUGGCAGUCAGCUGAUAAGUUUAGGUGCAUUAAUGUUGGAUUAAUGCCGCAAUCAAAACCCAUUGAAAUGGAUCUGGAUAUGACUGACAAAGAGAAGCUGGAGUAUUACAGGAGUCAGGAGAAGGAUUACAAGAGGAGGAUAGAGAAGGCGAGGCCUUGUUUGUUACCAAUGGCGGGNUGCUUCAGAUGUUGAGAGAGCAGGGAAAGGUUAGCGCAAGGUUGUUGCAAAAGAUUAGGGAG
This 466-nucleotide unclassified non-coding RNA is filed under the name Hevea brasiliensis (rubber tree). The record is from RNAcentral. Lineage: Eukaryota; Viridiplantae; Streptophyta; Magnoliopsida; Malpighiales; Euphorbiaceae.